Molecule: ribosomal RNA, 266 nt
Filed under: uncultured bacterium
Lineage: Bacteria
Description: partial 16S ribosomal RNA
Rfam family: Bacterial small subunit ribosomal RNA
Source: RNAcentral
ACGAACGCUGGCGGCGUGCUUAACACAUGCAAGUCGAACGGAGUGUUUACAAAAGCUCGCUUUUGCAACACUCAGUGGCGCACGGGUGAGUAACACGUGGGCAACCUGCCCGGAAGACUGGGAUAACACCUCGAAAGGGGUGCUAAUACCGGAUACCUUCACGAAGUCGCAUGACUUUGUGAAAGAAGAAUUCGCUUCCGGAUGGGCCCGCGUCCCAUUAGCUAGUUGGCGAGGUAACGGCUCACCAAGGCGACGAUGGGUAGCUG